GAUGAACGCUGGCGGCGUGCCUAACACAUGCAAGUCGAGCGAUUUACUUCGGUAAAGAGCGGCGGACGGGUGAGUAACGCGUGGGUAACCUGCCCUGUACACACGGAUAACAUACCGAAAGGUAUGCUAAUACGAGAUAAUAUACUUUUAUCGCAUGGUAGAAGUAUCAAAGCUCCGGCGGUACAGGAUGGACCAGCGUCUGACUAGCUAGUUGGUAAGGUAACGGCUUACCAAGGCGACGAUCAGUAGCCGACCUGUGAGGGUGAUCGGCGACAUUGGAACUGUGACACGGUCCAAACUCCUACGGCAGGCAGCAGUGGUGAAUAUUGCACAAUGGGCGAAAGCCUGAUGCAGCAGCGCCGCGUAAGCGAUGAAGGCCUUCGGGUCGUAAAGCUCUGUCCUCAAGGAAGAUAAUGACGGUACUUGAGGAGGAAGCCCCGGCUAACUACGUGCCAGCCGCCGCCGUAA
RNAcentral lists this ribosomal RNA (468 nucleotides) under uncultured bacterium. RNAcentral's name for it is "partial 16S ribosomal RNA". It matches the Rfam family "Bacterial small subunit ribosomal RNA", at positions 28 to 523 of the family's 1533-position model. The record is from RNAcentral.